CAGAAAGCAUAGUAUACAUAUAAAAUAUUGAUAAAGACUGAUAAAUGUCCAUUGGAGCAGGUAACAGAUGAAAUCAAAACAUCUAUUACGUAGGUUCGAGUGAUAUAAGAACUAAAGACGUCUAGUCUUCCAGAUAAUAGGAGGAAGAAGUACCAAAAGAGAGAGGGGGUGAAAGGGGGGGUGAUUAGGAAUGCUCAAAACAACACAUACCAAGAACAGAAAACAAUUUGGUUCCAGCACUUCAUGACACAAACUAGAGAGCUUCAUAAUAGAGAUACAGAGAUCAUGCCUGAAACUUAUCACUAAGUGUCAGAAUUCAGAUCAAUAUCUCAAGAAAUAAUAAUAAUAAUAAUAAUAAUAAUAAUAAUAAUAAUAAUAUCAUAUAAAAUAGGUGAGGAGCUGAGAGAGAGUUGCCCCUCCCCCACAGGGAAAACAACUGAACAUCUUUUCCUGCUGGAGCUCAUUCUCUCUCUCACAGCUCCAUCUGACUGGAGGAGCAGCAGUUCACAGCUGGACAUCAACUCAAGGGAGAGGUGUGAAAACAGGACACUCAUCCACAGUCAUCACCAGAUCUCGAAGCGCUUGUCUUUUCGGAAAGGCUCAAUAUCAGUAAUUCUGUUGUUGUGGAGUCUGAAGACACAACAAAGAUAUUCAAACUUUCAUUAAACAGCUGCUUUAUGCAGGUGUGGGAACAGCAGCUCUAGGCUGUGAUCAGUGAGCUGGCAGUGGCUGAGGUCCAGUUCAGACAGACCUUCAGAAAAUUCCAGAAACAAUGCUAGUGAUCUACAGGCAUUGAGGUCCAGAGGGGUCUCACUGAGGUCCAUCUCUUCAUCCAGCGCCUGGGAGAGGGACAUAGCAUGCCUCACACAGUCUGACUCAUUCACCACAUGAAGACGGGCCAGGAACCGGAGCAACAAAGGUUUACUACAGCUGAGUAAGGAUGAGAGAAAGAGAGACAGUUAAAACUUUUAAUAUACAGUCACACAUAUUCAAGUUAGUAAUUAGUCUCAAGUAGUCUCUAUGCAAUAAAGUGUACAAUUUCACUUUAGAGCUCAGUGGCAUUAAAAUACUGUAUGACUUCUACUGGACUGGUUAAAAAUAGAAAGUUGAUCUUAAACUGUACAACUUGGACAACCUGCCUAUGUGACUUAAUUGAAAAUGCAUCUUCUAGCCUGUAGCCACAGUGUCUAGACACAGUAGUUUGUCAUUCAGACUUGAGCAUUAUCCUGUAUGUGUGUCUCACCACAGUUUCACACUAUGUAGAAUGAGGAAGAGCAUGUCCACUCCAGUGUCCUCCAUCUCACAGUGCACUAGAAUGAGCUCUGUAUGUUGGAGAGAUUUCUGAAUGGCAGUGCUGAUGUCUCUGCAGUCCUCAGUGGUCAGAUGCAGAGUGUUAUCCUGUGUUUCUGUGGUCAGAUCCAAACCAGUGCUACAAGAGAAGUCCAGUCUGCUCUGCAGAGCAGAGAAAACUGCUGCUACUGCCCCCUGCUGGAUCUCAGAGAUACUGCAGCAGUGGAUCAACUUCAACAACAGGACCCUGUCAACACUGAGAGCAAGGAAAACAAGCAUUUUCUUUGUUACACUUAUGUAUUUUUUAAUUAGUGGUGCUUGAAAAGCACUACUAUUGUUCUUCGGCAUACUUAUUAUAAAUAUUAUUCUUCUUCUGCCACUUUUUUUUCGGCGCGUAACUAGUCCCGCACCGUUUGUCGGAGAUCGACGGGUGAGGUGUCAAAUCGAUCGGCUUAUUGAGUAGAGGUGUGCUAUGACUUUUGGUAGCGAUUGUAAUGUCGGCAUUUCCGGUACGGAAGCUCAAAGUCGGAAAAUUUCCCAUAGACUUGCAUUGAGUUUUGAAAGUAUUGGCACUCUAAAGAGAAAGCUCUAAAAGUUUUGCCUCCGUACACAUUCGGCUCUAAAAUGUAUUGGCACCUGAUCUGUUCGGCACUCAGAAGUAUUGGCACCCUAUCUGUCCGGCUCUCGAAAGUAUUGGCACCCUACGCGGGUCGGCUUUUGAAAGAAUUGGCGCCCCGUCCCAGUUUCGCCGCGUCAAGCACCACUCACAUUUUCUUCAGGAAAUGUACCGGUCUAGUUAUUACUGCAAUUUCUAUUACUCUAAAGUGGAUUGUGAACACUGAGUUACCUGAGCUGAGAAACUCUGUUGAACAGAGGGAGAAUCUUCACCAGCUCCCCCUCUGGUAUGGAGGUCCACAGCAGGCUCAGAGAGACAGAAGUACAGUGUUGGAGGGUGAAGCACAGGGCAGUACAGUGGUAAGAGUCCAGCUCUGUAUUGUUCAGGUUGAUACAGCUGUGUGUUGAACUCAACAGACUGGACACACAGUGAGCAGAGCCAGUCUCAUAGAUCUCUCUGAUGAUUGACAGCACAACACUGGGGUUCAAUCUGUAGAGGUUACAAUCACAUCCAUACAUAAAUUUAACGAUAAAUAUUAUUCUUCUGUUAAACCAAUACAGGAGAGGCAAUUCUUUUUAUUUAUUCCUUUUCUUUCCACAAGGUUUAUUAAUUAUUAAUAUUUAACGAUAUGAGCCUCUGAGUACUGAGUGUGGAUAUAUUAUUGUUCAACAUUGAAGAUAUGUCCAUUAAAUAAUGCAUUAAGAUAAUAGUGUAUCUGAUUAUCAUAAAUGUUUACGUGUGUCAUUAUUGGUGCAUUAAUAUGUGGUACAUUUCUAUUCCAGAAACCACACAUAUAGUAAAAGGUGUCUUUGGAAGCAAGAGUGCCUGAUCACAUGAUGUUGACUAAUAAAGAUGAUCAGACAGCCAUAAGAGUUGCUUCAUCUUGAAUCAGGCUCACAUUACUCAAACCGGUGUUCAUGUGGAUGUGACUUCAUCUAUUCUUUUACAUAGCUUUGAGUCUUUGGAACUUAACACAGACUCUGAAAGUGCAUUACCAAGCAAAAUUCACUAUACCUUAGUAUUACUGUUAUAAAAUUAUAAUUAGUUUCAGUUUCGGAAGGAUGUUAAUGAGUUAUGUACAGUAGGUAUCUAAUAUUGUUCAAUAGUACAUUAUUCAAAAGUAAGCAAAGAAACAUUUUAGAUGUAACCCACCUAAUAGUCUUAAAUUGCUACUCAACAUUUAAAGAUUAAGUAUGAAAGCAGAAAUUCUUUCAAAGGAGAUUACAUGUGUAUCUUCUUACCGUUUAAACUGAAUUUCAGACAGUAGAGGAAGAAUCUGUCUGGCAUGAUUAUAUGUGAUUUUGCUCUUUCUGAUGUUCGCACUAAUGCAGCAAACUCGCUGCUGGAGAAAAUAGAUAAGCUCCUCCCAACUGAGAGAACAGGAAGUCAGGUCUCCUCCCACCUUCUCCAGGAAAAAGCGGGUCAGUUCCCCAUCCUGCACCUCACACAGCAGACUGGUAAACUGCUGGAGAGUCUCUUUCGAUAAUCUACACACAUACAUGAUGUUUAUAGAUAAAAAAUAUUGACCAUUUUUAUAUGAUAAAGAUGUUCACUGUAAACUGACCUGAUCUUUAAAUUCCCAGCAUGACACAUGAGGCUGAUGAGAGAGUGAGCCUCCAUCCUGCACUCAGUGAGAUUCACACAGUGAACAGUCCAGAUGUUCAGGAGAGAAGACAAACUGCUCAGAAAUGUGAAGAUCUCUUUCUUUGGGUUUAUGCUGUUAAGCCUCAGACAGAGCUCCUCAAUGACCAACGAGCCACCAGCUCUCACUGCUCCAAAUGCUCGGACCAUCCUCCCUACCACACGGUCACUCAGGCUGACAAGCGUUCACCAAACACAUUCAUUAAAGGGGAUUUCAUGGUCCAGCUCAAUUUCACUCAUGCAUACUAAAGCUUAAUGAAGUUAUAUAACCUGGUGUGAAAAUUAAGAAACUGAUUAAUAACAUACCAGAGUUUCUGUAGGUGUGUGAUGUGUCUGAAGAGAAGUCUGGCCCCUCGGAGAGAGAUGGCUCGGGGUUUCAGAGUGAGUUUGACUUUGGAGUCUGAGAGACGUAGCACUUUCCUCACAGCCCUGCACUCACGAGUGGUUAAAACCCAGUCUAUAAUGAAGAUGAAGUCCAAGGCAGCAAAGAAAGCUCUCACCAACUUUGUAUCUUCUGCGCAGUCAACAACUGCUUUACUUAAACGUGGAAUGAACUCUUCUUCACAUCUAAAACAGACAGGAUUAAUGUAAAACUAUAAAUAGGACAUCUUCUAACUUAUUGUUCUUAAAAUUCCAUAAAUAACAUGUUAGAGGUGAUGCAGUGCUGCUAUAAAGUUUGUGAACCUUUUACAUUUUCUGCAUUUCUGCAUAAAUUUGAUCUGAAAUGUGAUCAGAUCUUCAUCUCAGUCAGAAAACUCAGUGCACCCAAUUAAAUAAACAAUGCAAAAACAGAAUUUUUUAUAUUUAUUUAUUGA
This is a long non-coding RNA of Ictalurus punctatus (channel catfish), 4362 nucleotides long. The record is from Ensembl. Lineage: Eukaryota; Metazoa; Chordata; Actinopteri; Siluriformes; Ictaluridae.